This 92-nucleotide transfer RNA is filed under the name Rubrivivax gelatinosus. Its description in RNAcentral is "tRNA-Ser". It matches the Rfam family "tRNA". From Rfam's summary of the family: Transfer RNA (tRNA) molecules are approximately 80 nucleotides in length. Their secondary structure includes four short double-helical elements and three loops (D, anti-codon, and T loops). Further hydrogen bonds mediate the characteristic L-shaped molecular structure. tRNAs have two regions of fundamental functional importance: the anti-codon, which is responsible for specific mRNA codon recognition, and the 3' end, to which the tRNAs corresponding amino acid is attached (by aminoacyl-tRNA synthetases). tRNAs cope with the degeneracy of the genetic code in two manners: having more than one tRNA (with a specific anti-codon) for a particular amino acid; and 'wobble' base-pairing, i.e. permitting non-standard base-pairing at the 3rd anti-codon position. The record is from RNAcentral. Lineage: Bacteria; Pseudomonadati; Pseudomonadota; Betaproteobacteria; Burkholderiales; Sphaerotilaceae.
GGAAAGGUGGCAGAGUGGUCGAAUGCGCCGGACUCGAAAUCCGGUUCGCGGGUUCUCCCGCGACGAGGGUUCGAAUCCCUCCCUUUCCGCCA